Molecule: ribosomal RNA, 239 nt
Filed under: uncultured bacterium
Lineage: Bacteria
Description: partial 16S ribosomal RNA
Rfam family: Bacterial small subunit ribosomal RNA
Source: RNAcentral
CGUGAGUAACCUGCCUUGGAGUGGGGAAUAACAAUUGGAAACAACUGCUAAUACCGCAUGAUGCAGUUGGGUCGCAUGGCUCUGACUGCCAAAGAUUUAUCGCUCUGAGAUGGACUCGCGUCUGAUUAGCUAGUUGGUGAGGUAACGGCUCACCAAGGCGACGAUCAGUAGCCGGACUGAGAGGUUGGCCGGCCACAUUGGGACUGAGACACGGCCCAAACUCCUACGGAAGGCAGCAG